AAGGCGCACUCACCAGAAUCAAUGAAGCGACAAGCAAGCAGCAGCGCCUCUCUGAAAGAGCGUUUUGUAAACAGAUUUUGGCGCAUGCGUACUAAACGUCUAAGGAGCAGGGAAACUAAUCGAGCAAGAUGGCUGGCUAAGAAGAUUUGAACUUUGACAUGAAUGUGAAGGAGCAAGGCAUGGCAAAAGAAGGCACGCGGACAGGUCAGUCCCAAAGUAGCCGCAGAGGUCCUGAGAUCACAUUCCAGCUGUUAUGGUUCAGAGCAAGACAGCCCCCUGCAGGAGGAUCCAACUCGUCCUGCGAGCUGUGACUGCCAUCCAGAUGAAACUGGUUGGUAACCAGACGGGCUCAGAGCCGAACUGUGUCCUUGGACCUGGGGAAAGACAAACAGGUGUUACCUGCCCCUGACGCUGCCAGGGUUCAUUUAUCUCAUCCUGUUCUGGCAAGUUUGAAACUGACCGACUCAAAAACCCCAAAACAAUGACCCCUGUUUUUAGACUAAAUUAAAGUGGGUCAAUAUAUGACACACCUUUUGAUGUAGCCAAUCAGACAGGAGGAGGAGACGCUGUCAUGUCUGAUUUGAGAUCAAUUCAGCCAAAUUGUGUUUUUUUUUCUUUAUAUAAAGUGUAAUGUGGAAUUAUAGUAUUUAAAUGAUGAAUGUAUAAUGUGUGUUUAGUUUUUUUCACUUAGUUUAUUCAGCUACACGCUGCAAGACAAAGGUCAUCAGGCUUUUAUCAUUGUGCUUGUCGUCUUCUCAGGGGCCCAACGGCUCUGUGGAUAAAGGGUAAGGAGGAUUUGAACUUUAAACUUUAUCUAGAGUGUAUCUUUUGUAGGUUUCAUAUAUCCACCUCUUCUCGCUGACCUAUUUAAUUUUAAUUUUUUAUUUAACCUUUAUUUAACCAGGAAGAAACUCAUUAAGAUUAAAAAUCUCUUUUUCA
Long non-coding RNA from Perca flavescens (yellow perch), 939 nucleotides. RefSeq lists it as uncharacterized. Lineage: Eukaryota; Metazoa; Chordata; Actinopteri; Perciformes; Percidae. The transcript has 3 exons. The record is from RefSeq and is a predicted model, not a curated record.